UAGGGACCUCAAGGCAAGCCUGGCCUUCCUGGCCUUCCUGGUUCUGAUGGGCCUCCUGGUCAUCCUGGAAAAGAGGGUCAGUCUGGAGAUAAAGGUGCAUUGGGGCCUCCAGGUCCUCAGGGUCCCAUUGGCUAUCCAGGUCCUCGUGGUGUAAAGGUAAGAUUUAAUUACUGAAUUCCGCCCCCUGCCCCUUUUUGAAUAUGUGCAUGUGGGUAAUUCUUUAU
Molecule: long non-coding RNA, 224 nt
Filed under: Calidris pygmaea (Spoon-billed sandpiper)
Lineage: Eukaryota; Metazoa; Chordata; Aves; Charadriiformes; Scolopacidae
Description: lncRNA (ENSCPGG00000002572.1)
Source: RNAcentral